GGCGGUUCUCCGGUGACACACCCCAGAAUCAGGCUUCUUCCUCUCUGGUUCCGGGUACAUCACCGGAGAACUGCA
Non-coding RNA from Myotis lucifugus (little brown bat), 75 nucleotides. NCBI's taxonomy places the organism in Eukaryota, Metazoa, Chordata, Mammalia, Chiroptera, Vespertilionidae. The record is from Rfam.